Molecule: ribosomal RNA, 776 nt
Filed under: uncultured Neocallimastigales
Lineage: Eukaryota; Fungi; Neocallimastigomycota; Neocallimastigomycetes; Neocallimastigales
Description: partial large subunit ribosomal RNA
Rfam family: Eukaryotic large subunit ribosomal RNA
Source: RNAcentral
AGAGAGAGACAUGCGCGCAUAUCAAUAAGCGGAGGAAAAGAAACUAACUAGGAUUCCCUCAGUAGCGGCGAGUGAAGCGGGAAGAGCUCAAAUUUGAAAUCUUCAAGGUUCUACCUUGACGAAUUGUAGUUUAAAGAAGUGUUUUCUGUUGGAGUUUUGGUAAAAGUUCUUUGGAAUAGGACAUCAUAGGAGGGUGAGAAUCCCGUAUUUGACCAUUAUUUCCAGCUUUGUGAUACACUUUCAAAGAGUCGGAUUGUUUGGGAAUGCAGUCCAAAAUGGGUGGUAAAUUUCAUCUAAAGCUAAAUACUUGGCGAGAGACCGAUAGCGAACAAGUACCGUGAGGGAAAGAUGAAAAGAACUUUGAAAAGAGAGUUAAACAGUACGUGAAAUUGUCAAAAGGGAAGCGUUUGACACCAGUGUUGUUUUCUCGAAAAUCAAUUAAAAAAGGCAGGAUUUUGUGUUGUAUUGACUUUAUCAGCUUUCUGCACUCUUUUCUUGUCCUUUUUAAUGCACUUUUCGUUUAACAAGUCAACAUCAAUUUCUUUUGUUGUAAAAGGGUCAUUGGAAGGUGGCUUUCUUUUCGGAGAAAGUGUUUAUAGCCUUUGGCCUCUGCAAUCGGAGAGAUUGAGGUCUGCAGCGUAGAUCCUUCGGGGUUAGAUACAGUUUGUGCUAAGUUAUAGCCUUUCAUAGACAACUUGUUGACUAUGAUCAGUCAUGUAGCUUACUCGCUUAUGCUAUUUUACCUACGCUUAGGAUGUUGAUGUGAUACUGCGAGC